Harpia harpyja (harpy eagle) is the source of this 1694-nucleotide long non-coding RNA. RefSeq lists it as uncharacterized. Lineage: Eukaryota; Metazoa; Chordata; Aves; Accipitriformes; Accipitridae. The transcript is spliced from 3 exons. The record is from RefSeq and is a predicted model, not a curated record.
UAUAGUGCCGUAGUUUCCAAUUUCUGUGGCAGAUGUUUCCACAAAGAUAAAUAACGUACGGAUUCUCAACAAAGAGCCUUUAUGUGGCCACAGGUUGCAUCAGCUGUGUGGUGCCUGAAAAUGAAGCGGACUGGUGAGCCGCUUCCAGAGCUGACGGCGUGACUCAUUGUGUUUGUGCAUCGUCAGUGUUAGAGCAGACAGGAAUCAUCAUGGGAAGCUGAUUGCAGGCAGGAGUGAGUCAAAAGAGGGCCUCCUUCCCCUGAGCUAGACGUGCAGGGACAGUUCAAAACUUGUCUCAGCGAGAAGUUGCCCUACUGCAGGAAUUUUUGUUUUGAAUGAAAGAAGCACUUAUUUAUUUAGGGGAGGCAUGAUUACUUAAAGCGGCAUAUAAAAACAUAUUUGAUCCUCUGACUAACUUCACAGUUAUUCUAAUGUUGUCUUGCAAAACUUAAGCCCUUUCUGUCAUCAUUUUAAAGCUAGUUUAAUAUUUAUGGAUCACAAGAAUGGAUAUGGAGGAUUAAAUACACUAUCAGGUUCUGCCUGCGAAGCUAGUUGACGGGGCAUGUUAUGACAGACAGAGGCCCUGUCUCCACACGAAAUCUCUUGGAGUAAAGUGUUAUAUUUAGAAAAAACGUGUCUGUAUUCCAGCUCUGCACCAUGAAAAAUCUAGAGUUUAGAGCACCCGAUAUCUACACAGAGAAAAACUGUAUAUUUUAAUAUGCAUUCAGCCUAGCUACCAUGAAACUUUUCCAAGCGUAAAGAUAGUUAUGAGCCUGAACAGCUCUUAGGUGAGGAAGCAUAUUGGCAACAGAUAGAGAGAUUUCAGGGAGGGUAUCAAGCAAAGUAAAGAUGGGCAGCCACAUCCUAAAAGGCAUUAUUGAAUAAAGGAAGAUAGGCAUUUUCAGUGAGCUGAACACCUUACUCUUGCCAGUGAUUUACAUAGAGGGCAAAUCUCAACAUCGAGCAGGAAGGAACGGGGAAGAAACUCCACAUGUUGAAACUCAUGUCCACAUACAGAGCAUGCCAGCCUCCUUUCCAGCUUCUGCAGUCUUACACAUGCCAGUAUCUUAAAUGAUGAACCUGAGACAGAUCCCAUGACAUCACAAGAUGCUGGUAAUCCUUUGUGUAAUAACAGGUUAAUUGUUUGCCAGCUAUAUAUAUAUGGCAAGAUGCCCAGUAUCAGCUGAGCCGUGAAAAUGGAAGUAUCAAAAUAUCCCCAUGUGUGAACACUGCAAGAAACAAAUAUUACUCUCUGCUUAAAACAAAAACAAAAAAAAAACCCACAAACCAACAAAACCCAACACCCUUACUGAGGAAAGCUUUGGUCUUCUGAAAUGAGUGCACAGGAAAAAAUCAUAAUCAACAAAUUUUACCCUGUCAGAGAACUCUCACCUAAUUUAUUCUGUUUACAGAUUUGGUCUAAUAAUAUUAUUUCUCACACCUCUUUGUAAAAUAUUCUGAGAUUUACUGAUGAAAAGUGCUAAGGAAUAAAAUAAUAUUUAUCUAUUGUACAAUUGUAAUAUCAUGAUUUUUAUAAUUUGUAUAGUUUUCUGUGAUAAUAAUUUAUUAAUGUCUUGCUUAUGAUUACAACUAAGACUGAAUUUUUUUCUUUGGAACCUACGAAUAAAAUGUAUCACUUGUUUAACAACUUGCUCAGAUCCUCCCAUAUCUAGUUAGUCUACCACCACCCCCCG